This is a long non-coding RNA of Lycium ferocissimum, 1689 nucleotides long. RefSeq lists it as uncharacterized. The record is from RefSeq and is a predicted model, not a curated record. NCBI's taxonomy places the organism in Eukaryota, Viridiplantae, Streptophyta, Magnoliopsida, Solanales, Solanaceae. The transcript has 2 exons.
GAACUAUCCAGCGGCAUACCUAGGAUUUUUGAGUCGUGGAGGCUCAAUUGACCUUAAUCUAAAAUUACUUUUGAAAAUUGGGCGGUGGGGAGUGUUGGCCAGCCAAGAACACUCAAGGUCAUAAGAUGAGGUUGUGGAAAUGAGGAUGUUGCGGUGGAUGUGUGGGCAUACUAUGAGAGAUAGGAUUAGAAAUGAAGAUAUUCGGGACAAGGUGGAAGUGGCCUCGAUGGAGGACAAGAUAUGGGACGCGAGACUGAGAUGAUUCGGGCAGAAGAGGAGAUGCGCGGACCUCCCAGUGCGGAGGUGUGAGAGAUUCGCUAUGGAUGGUUUCAGGGGAGGUAUGGGUAGGCCGAAGAAGUAUUGGGUAAAGGUGAUUAGAUAGGACAUGGCGCAGUUGCAGCUUACCAAGGACAUGACCUUAGAUAGAAGCUUGUGGAGGACACGGAUAAGGGUAGAAGGUUAGUGGGUAGUAGAGUGUUGUUUGGCUUAUCCUUCCUAACUCGUAGUUUUAGUAUUUCUCUGUAGUUUCUUGUCCUUUGACUUUUGUUCUCUUGUUCUUCGUUUAUCAUACUAUUUUGUUGCAGUUAAUGUUCCUUUUACCUUUUUGACUUGCUUUGAUAUUGCUUUAUCUUAAGCCUAGGGUCUUGAGUAGUGGAGGAGAAGGUUAUACAUUAGCAAUUAUUCCUGUUUCCUCCUAAAACAGUUUUUUUAACCACCUUCUCCCUACGCUAGAAGCUUCAAGUAUGUCAUGAAAAUGAAACAAUUUAUAUAUACACACAAAAAUUAUACAUACCUUAUUUAUGUAGCAUAAUUUUCUAAGUAAUUAGGAUUCAAUUGAACCCUUUCAUGCAAUGUAGCUCCGUCCCUGCUUGCAACAGUUCCAUACCAAUGUCUCCAAAAUCUGCAGAAACAUGCAACUCCUAUUUAAAGAUACACAUUUCAAUGGCACCCAAGAGUGUGGUCUAGUGGUCAAUGAAGUGGGUUAGAGCACCAUGAGGUCUUAGGUUCAAUUCCCAGCUGAGACAAAACACUAGGUGAUUUCUUCCCAUAUGUUCUAGCUUUGGUAGAUAGAGUUACCUGGUACCUGUUGCUGGUGGGAGGUGGCAGGUAUCCCGUGGAAUUAGUUGAGGUGCGCACAAGCUGACUUGGACACCACGGUUAUAUGUAUUUAAAGAAAAAAAAAGAUACUCGUUUCAAUGUUCCAAUAGUUAUUUGCUAAAGUCCUGCUGAUUAUGAAAUUUUGACAAGAGAUCUUUCCUUAAAACUGAAGUGAUCAAUCAAUUACUGAGCAGGUACGAGCCUACUGUACCAAUGAUCCUGCAAUAACUCAGAGGGAGAAGAUGGAAUUCUUUGUGUAAUUCUUCGAAGCCGUGAUCCGGGUUUCAACCUCAACUGCUGUUUCAUAUGUCCAAGGAGGUAGACAGGGAAAAGGCAAGAGAUAGUUGCUGUUAUCAUGUGAAGAGAUGAUCGUAGAAGAAAACCCCCCACAGGAAUGUAGUUUUGCGAAUUAUAUUAUUUAAAUCAGAUCUUUGGAGAGGAAAAUGACCUUCACCUUAUUUCACAGACCCCCCCCCCCCCCCCCCACCUUAUUUUUUUUUGCCCGUGGAUUGGCUUGAAUUUAAGUGAUAAGUUCAGUUUAAGCUUUUCUGCUUUGGUAAUUAUUGAUUCAAAUUUUCGGUUUUUAUUUUC